This 465-nucleotide ribosomal RNA is filed under the name uncultured bacterium. RNAcentral describes it as "partial 16S ribosomal RNA". It matches the Rfam family "Bacterial small subunit ribosomal RNA", at positions 338 to 795 of the family's 1533-position model. The record is from RNAcentral.
CCUACGGGUGGCAGCAGUGGGGAAUAUUGCGCAAUGGGCGAAAGCCUGACGCAGCGACGCCGCGUGAGGGAUGAAGGCCUUCGGAUCGUAAACCUCUGUUAGCAGGGAAGAACGGUCACUGUGCUAAUCAGCAGUGAAUUGACGGUACCUGCAAAGGAAGCACCGGCUAACUCCGUGCCAGCAGCCGCGGUAAUACGGAGGGUGCGAGUGUUAAUCGGAUUUACUGGGCGUAAAGCGCGCGUAGGCGGUAUGUCAAGUCAAGGGUGAAAGCCCUGCGCUCAACGUGAGAACUGCCUUUGAAACUGGCAGACUGGAGUGUGUGAGAGGAUGGUGGAAUUCCGGGUGUAGGAGUGAAAUCCGUAGAUAUCUGGAGGAACAUCAGUGGCGAAGGCGACUUUCUGGCACGUAACUGACGCUGAGGAGCGAAAGCGUGGGUAGCAAACAGGAUUAGAUACCCCUGUAGUC